This 253-nucleotide ribosomal RNA is filed under the name uncultured bacterium. RNAcentral's name for it is "partial 16S ribosomal RNA". It matches the Rfam family "Bacterial small subunit ribosomal RNA", at positions 524 to 776 of the family's 1533-position model. The record is from RNAcentral.
UACGGGGGGGGCAAGCGUUGUUCGGAAUUACUGGGCGUAAAGGGUUCGUAGGUGGCCAACUCAGUCAGACGUGAAAUCCCUCAGCUUAACUGGGGAACUGCGUCUGAUACUGGAUGGCUCGAGUGCAGGAGAGGAACGCGGAAUCCCAGGUGUAGCGGUGAAAUGCGUAGAUAUCUGGAGGAACACCGGUGGCGAAGGCGGCGUUCUGGACUGUAACUGACACUGAGGAACGAAAGCCAGGGGAGCAAACGGG